UUCCCUGUUCCUUUUGAUAAGUGAAGCCUCACAUCUUUCGAAGAUCUAAGUAAAAUGAGAAAAAAUGAUUGGGGUAGGCUCAUCCUUGAUUAUGUAUUUGACUAUCCUUCUGUUGGAAGUGAAUGAUAUUCAACAUUUAGUGAAUCAGGUCAGGUGUGGCGGGUCUCCAGAUGUGGGGAUUAGAAAAAAAAAAAAACCUUCCCCAAUUACACCACGUACAUCGAGUAAUCCAUAGGGAGGGGAAUCGAACUUGUGUUUGUGGGGAGCAAACCCACGACCAAAGUCGUUUGCCCAAACUCAUAACAGCUAAUCCACGGGGAGGGGAAUCACACUCAUGUCUAUGGGGAGCAAAACCAUGACCAAAGCCAUUCACCCAAACUCGUGACGGGUUUUGGGAAUUUUUUUUGAUUUU
This is a long non-coding RNA of Magnolia sinica, 412 nucleotides long. RefSeq lists it as uncharacterized. The transcript is spliced from 3 exons. NCBI's taxonomy places the organism in Eukaryota, Viridiplantae, Streptophyta, Magnoliopsida, Magnoliales, Magnoliaceae. The record is from RefSeq and is a predicted model, not a curated record.